Molecule: ribosomal RNA, 414 nt
Filed under: uncultured microorganism
Description: bacterial SSU rRNA
Rfam family: Archaeal small subunit ribosomal RNA
Source: RNAcentral
CAGCCGCCGCGGUAAUACCGGCGGCCCGAGUGGCGGCCACUAUUAUUGGGCUUAAAGCGUCCGUAGCCGGGUUGGUUAGUCUCCCGGGAAAUCUGGCCGCUUAACGGUCAGAAUUCCGGGAGAUACUGCCAGCCUAGGGACCGGGAGAGGCCGAGGGUAUUCCCGGAGUAGGGGUGAAAUCCUAUAAUCCCGGGAGGACCACCUGUGGCGAAGGCGCUCGGCUGGAACGGGUCCGACGGUGAGGGACGAAGGCCAGGGGAGCAAACCGGAUUAGAUACCCGGGUAGUCCCGGCUGUAAACGAUGCGGGCUAGCUGUUGGGUGGGCUUAGAGCCCACCCAGUGGCGCAGGGAAGCCGUUAAGCCCGCCGCCUGGGGAGUACGGCCGCAAGGCUGAAACUUAAAGGAAUUGGCGGG